RNAcentral lists this ribosomal RNA (1557 nucleotides) under Lysobacterales bacterium. RNAcentral describes it as "bacterial SSU rRNA". It matches the Rfam family "Bacterial small subunit ribosomal RNA". The record is from RNAcentral. Lineage: Bacteria; Pseudomonadati; Pseudomonadota; Gammaproteobacteria; Lysobacterales.
UGAAGAGUUUGAUCCUGGCUCAGAUUGAACGCUGGCGGCAUGCCUAACACAUGCAAGUCGGACGGCAGCGCAGCCGUGGUGACACGGUGGGCGGCGAGUGGCGGACGGGUGAGUAAUGCAUCGGAAUCUGCCCUCAAGUGGGGGAUAACCUGGGGAAACUCAGGCUAAUACCGCAUGGUGCCUUGAGGUGGGAGCCUUGAGGUGAAAGCGGGGGACCGUAAGGCCUCGCGCUUGGGGAUGAGCCGAUGUCCGAUUAGCUAGUUGGUGGGGUAAUGGCCUACCAAGGCGACGAUCGGUAGCCGGCCUGAGAGGGUGGUCGGCCACACUGGGACUGAGACACGGCCCAGACUCCUACGGGAGGCAGCAGUGGGGAAUUUUGGACAAUGGGCGAAAGCCUGAUCCAGCAAUGCCGCGUGUGUGAAGAAGGCCUUCGGGUUGUAAAGCACUUUUCCUGGGGAAGAAAUCGCUAGGGUGAACAAUCUUAGCGGAUGACGGUACCUGGGGAAUAAGCACCGGCUAACUCCGUGCCAGCAGCCGCGGUAAUACGGAGGGUGCGAGCGUUAAUCGGAAUUACUGGGCGUAAAGGGUGCGUAGGUGGCCUGCUGAGUCCGAUGUGAAAGCCCUGGGCUUAACCUGGGAAUGGCAUUGGAUACUGGUGGGCUGGAGUGUGGCAGAGGGUCGUGGAAUUCCCGGUGUAGCGGUGAAAUGCGUAGAGAUCGGGAGGAACACCCGUGGCGAAGGCGGCGACCUGGGCCAACACUGACGCUGAGGCACGAAAGCGUGGGGAGCAAACAGGAUUAGAUACCCUGGUAGUCCACGCCCUAAACGAUGCCGACUGGAUGUUGGGUGCGUUUGACGCGCUCAGUAUCGAAGCUAACGCGUGAAGUCGGCCGCCUGGGGAGUACGGUCGCAAGACUGAAACUCAAAGGAAUUGACGGGGGCCCGCACAAGCGGUGGAGUAUGUGGUUUAAUUCGAUGCAACGCGAAGAACCUUACCUGGCCUUGACAUGCCCGGAACCCUGCAGAGAUGUGGGGGUGCCCGCGAGGGAGCCGGGACACAGGUGCUGCAUGGCUGUCGUCAGCUCGUGUCGUGAGAUGUUGGGUUAAGUCCCGCAACGAGCGCAACCCUUGCUCCUAGUUGCCAGCGGUUUGGCCGGGAACUCUAGGAGGACUGCCGUCGACAAGACGGAGGAAGGUGGGGACGACGUCAAGUCAUCAUGGCCCUUACGGCCAGGGCUACACACGUACUACAAUGGCCGGUACAGAGGGUUGCGAAGCCGUGAGGUGGAGCCAAUCCCAGAAAGCCGGUCUCAGUCCGGAUUGCAGUCUGCAACUCGACUGCAUGAAGUCGGAAUCGCUAGUAAUCGCAGAUCAGCAUUGCUGCGGUGAAUACGUUCCCGGGCCUUGUACACACCGCCCGUCACACCAUGGGAGUCGGCUGCACCAGAAGCAGGUGGCCUAACCGCGAGGGGGGCGCUUUCCACGGUGUGGUCGAUGACUGGGGUGAAGUCGUAACAAGGUAGCCGUACCGGAAGGUGCGGCUGGAUCACCUCCUUU